UAAGCAAUUAAGGGCACACGGUGGAUGCCUAGGCAUGCAGAGGCGAAGAAGGACGUGUAAAGCUGCGAUAAGCUGCGGGGAGUUGCAAAAGAACUGUGAUCCGCGGAUUUCCGAAUGGGGCAACCCACUCUAAUUUAUUAGGGUAUCCUUUCGAGGAGGCAUACCCGGGGAACUGAAACAUCUAAGUACCCUUAGGAACAGAAAUCAAUUGAGAUUCCGUCAGUAGCGGCGAGCGAACGCGGAUUAGCCCUUAAGCUUCUUUAUUCUUAGCAGAACGCCCUGGAAAGUGCGGCCAUAGUGGGUGAUAGCCCCGUAUGCGAA
RNAcentral lists this ribosomal RNA (321 nucleotides) under Thalassiosira antarctica. RNAcentral describes it as "partial Bacterial large subunit ribosomal RNA". It matches the Rfam family "Bacterial large subunit ribosomal RNA", at positions 1 to 383 of the family's 2925-position model. The record is from RNAcentral. Lineage: Eukaryota; Bacillariophyta; Thalassiosirophyceae; Thalassiosirales; Thalassiosiraceae.